UACAGAGGGUGCGAGCGUUGUCCGGAAUCACUGGGCGUAAAGGGCGCGUAGGCGGCCUGAUAAGUCGGGGGUGAAAUCCUGUGGCUCAACCACAGGGCUGCCUCCGGGACUGUCGGGCUCGAGCACAGUAGAGGCAGGUGGAAUUCCCGGUGUAGCGGUGGAAUGCGUAGAGAUCGGGAAGAACAUCGGUGGCGAAGGCGGCCUGCUGGGCUGUUGCUGACGCUGAGGCGCGACAGCGUGGGGAGCGAACAGG
RNAcentral lists this ribosomal RNA (253 nucleotides) under uncultured bacterium. Its description in RNAcentral is "partial 16S ribosomal RNA". It matches the Rfam family "Bacterial small subunit ribosomal RNA", at positions 524 to 776 of the family's 1533-position model. The record is from RNAcentral.